GACGAACGCUGGCGGCGUGCUUAACACAUGCAAGUCGAACGGAAAGGCCCCUUUGGGGGUACUCGAGUGGCGAACGGGUGAGUAACACGUGAGUAACCUGCCCUUGACUUCGGGAUAACUUCAGGAAACUGGGGCUAAUACCGGAUAGGAAUCCUUGCUGCAUGGUGGGGGUUGGAAAGCUUCGGCGGUUUUGGAUGGACUCGCGGCUUAUCAGCUUGUUGGUGGGGCAGUGGCGUACCAAGGCUUUGACGGGUAGCCGGCCUGAGAGGGCGACCGGCCACAUUGGGACUGAGAGACGGCCCGGACUCCUACGGGAGGCAGCAGGGGGGAAUAUUGCACAAUGGGCGGAAGCCUGAGGCAGCAACGCCGCGGGCGGGAUGACGGCCUUCGGGUUGGAAACCGCUUUCAGCAGGGGCGAAGCUUGUGGUGACGGUACCUGCAGAAGAAGCACCGGCUAACUACGUG
RNAcentral lists this ribosomal RNA (465 nucleotides) under uncultured bacterium. RNAcentral describes it as "partial 16S ribosomal RNA". It matches the Rfam family "Bacterial small subunit ribosomal RNA", at positions 28 to 507 of the family's 1533-position model. The record is from RNAcentral.